Molecule: transfer RNA, 69 nt
Filed under: Bathysaurus ferox (deepsea lizardfish)
Lineage: Eukaryota; Metazoa; Chordata; Actinopteri; Aulopiformes; Bathysauridae
Description: tRNA-Glu
Rfam family: tRNA
About the family: Transfer RNA (tRNA) molecules are approximately 80 nucleotides in length. Their secondary structure includes four short double-helical elements and three loops (D, anti-codon, and T loops). Further hydrogen bonds mediate the characteristic L-shaped molecular structure. tRNAs have two regions of fundamental functional importance: the anti-codon, which is responsible for specific mRNA codon recognition, and the 3' end, to which the tRNAs corresponding amino acid is attached (by aminoacyl-tRNA synthetases). tRNAs cope with the degeneracy of the genetic code in two manners: having more than one tRNA (with a specific anti-codon) for a particular amino acid; and 'wobble' base-pairing, i.e. permitting non-standard base-pairing at the 3rd anti-codon position.
Source: RNAcentral
GUUCUUGUAGUUGAGUAACAACAGUGAUUUUUCAAGUCACAGGUCCUGGUUAAAGUCCGGGUAGGAAUU